Molecule: long non-coding RNA, 313 nt
Organism: Cotesia glomerata
Lineage: Eukaryota; Metazoa; Arthropoda; Insecta; Hymenoptera; Braconidae
Exons: 2
Source: RefSeq, a predicted model, not a curated record
AUUAAUAGUCAUAGAAUUAAAUUUUUUAAUUUAAUUAUAAAUAUCAUUAUAAAUAAUUAAUCAUUGUAUUUUUAGUUAAGUACUAAAAAUGUAAUCAUUGAGUGCAUUAAUAUUUGGCAAGGACAGCAUUUAUGGAAAAUAAAAGGUCACGAAACAGAAAUAACGGGCUUGUCGCUUAGUUCUUCGGAACUAGACCUCACGGAAAAUUUGAAUGGAACACUCUCGGUCACAAACUUUGAUUGAACCGGUCCAAAAUGAAGAAUCUGAUGCCGAAAACCCUGAAGAGAUGGAAACUGAUGAAUGAAUUAGAUUU